RNAcentral lists this long non-coding RNA (1460 nucleotides) under Homo sapiens (human). RNAcentral's name for it is "HSALNT0146160". The record is from RNAcentral. Lineage: Eukaryota; Metazoa; Chordata; Mammalia; Primates; Hominidae.
AAAUUACCAAUAUUGGGGGUGACUCAAGUUUUGGCCCCCAAUAGUGAAAAUACAAGGUCUGGUACCUUCUGCGGUCUUUUUGCAUUUCACCUUGGAGCAAUUUAAUUGUGUUGUCCUUCAAUGAAAAAUGCUCUCUGAACCUAAAUUCACAAACCAGAAAGAGAUUUCUAGCAAGGAAAAUGCCCUGUCAGGGUCACUUGGAAGGCUGCGUUUGGUAUUGAGGUUAAUUGGAGAACGAGAGAGAGGCCUCAGCUAAUCUUAGCCUUGCUGCCAAUGAGUAGAAGGAGCUGGUUUUCUUUUUUCCUUCUUCUUAAUGUCUGAUCAUUUCCCCCCUUCCCCUGCCUCUGCAUCAGGAAGGGCAUCAUUCCACAUCCUACCUGUAUUAGGAAAAAGUAGCUUCUUAAGGGUUGGCACAGUCAUCUCUCUAAUCUUUCCCUUCUCCUUGUGGCAUGAAAACUUUUAAUAUUGCCAAUCCCUAAAAAUCUAUUAUUUCUGCCUGUCUUUUUUUUCCUUCCCACUUUGCAGUGUAGACUAUCAUUAUCCAGCAGCCCUGAUAAGAGGAUAAUGAAACAAUCCCUUCUCAACUGGAUCGGGUGGCUGUCAGACUAAAAUGACACCACCCGUACAUCCUUGACAUGCUACCACAAGCUAAUUGACAGCAAACAUUGGCAACUGUCUCCCAUGCACCAAGACAAAGGAAACAUAUUCAUGUCACCUGAUGGGAGAGCUACCUGGCAACGGAUAAACAAAUGUGUUAGGGAGAUGUUCUAUUAAGGUCCUCUGAACGGGCCACACCACGGUUGAGCCAUUGUGACCCCUGCGACACACAGGUCCAGGCCUCCUGGAGUCACAAAGCUUUGAGCAACAGGAGAACCACUAAAGAAGAAGAAACAGCUAGCUCCUGCCUUAACUGAUUAACCGAACUUGCAACAUUCCACCAUUGUGAUAUGUUCCUGCCCUACCCUAAAUAAUCAAUCGGCCUUGUGAUAUCCUGCCAUGUGAACUCCCUCCACCUCGUGACUACGCACCUUGUGACAUUCUUCCCCUGCCCGAAAAGACUGCCCCAACUGUAACCUUCCACUACCUAUCCCAAACCUAUAAAACCAGUUCCACUCCCACCGCCCUUCGCUGACUCCCUUUUCAGACUCAGCCCGCUCGCACCGGAGUGAAUAAACAGCCUUGUUGCUCACACUUAGCCUGUCUGGGUAGUCUCUUCAAUUAGGCACGCGCUUAACACUUUCCAAAUUUUCUACAUUCAAAUGAUGUGCCAAAGCUGGCUCGCACCAAUCUGAGGUGUCAAUUUUGUGCGUCUUUUCCAAACUUUCCAUGCAAUGAUGAUAGACUGAUAGCUUGAAAUCGGUCAUAGUGAAGUAUUUACACCAUGGAAAUUGGCAAUUCUACAAACAGGCUUUUUCCAUCUAAAGAGCUGGUUGCUAUACAUUACCAGCACACCACUGGCA